Molecule: ribosomal RNA, 254 nt
Filed under: uncultured bacterium
Lineage: Bacteria
Description: partial 16S ribosomal RNA
Rfam family: Bacterial small subunit ribosomal RNA
Source: RNAcentral
UACAGAGGGGGCAAGCGUUGUUCGGAAUUACUGGGCGUAAAGGGCGCGUAGGCGGCCUUCUAAGUCAGACGUGAAAUCCCUCGGCUUAACCGGGGAACUGCGUCUGAUACUGGAUGGCUUGAGAUUGGGAGAGGGAUGCGGAAUUCCAGGUGUAGCGGUGAAAUGCGUAGAUAUCUGGAGGAACACCGGUGGCGAAGGCGGCAUCCUGGACCAACACUGACGCUGAGUGAGCGAAAGCCAGGGGAGCAAACAGG